RNAcentral lists this ribosomal RNA (692 nucleotides) under Salmonella enterica subsp. enterica serovar Indiana. RNAcentral's name for it is "partial 23S ribosomal RNA". It matches the Rfam family "Bacterial large subunit ribosomal RNA", at positions 2111 to 2802 of the family's 2925-position model. Lineage: Bacteria; Pseudomonadati; Pseudomonadota; Gammaproteobacteria; Enterobacterales; Enterobacteriaceae. The record is from RNAcentral.
UUGACACUGAACAUUGAGCCUUGAUGUGUAGGAUAGGUGGGAGGCUUUGAAGCGUGGACGCCAGUCUGCAUGGAGCCGACCUUGAAAUACCACCCUUUAAUGUUUGAUGUUCUAACGUGGACCCGUAAUCCGGGUUGCGGACAGUGUCUGGUGGGUAGUUUGACUGGGGCGGUCUCCUCCUAAAGAGUAACGGAGGAGCACGAAGGUUGGCUAAUCCUGGUCGGACAUCAGGAGGUUAGUGCAAUGGCAUAAGCCAGCUUGACUGCGAGCGUGACGGCGCGAGCAGGUGCGAAAGCAGGUCAUAGUGAUCCGGUGGUUCUGAAUGGAAGGGCCAUCGCUCAACGGAUAAAAGGUACUCCGGGGAUAACAGGCUGAUACCGCCCAAGAGUUCAUAUCGACGGCGGUGUUUGGCACCUCGAUGUCGGCUCAUCACAUCCUGGGGCUGAAGUAGGUCCCAAGGGUAUGGCUGUUCGCCAUUUAAAGUGGUACGCGAGCUGGGUUUAGAACGUCGUGAGACAGUUCGGUCCCUAUCUGCCGUGGGCGCUGGAGAACUGAGGGGGGCUGCUCCUAGUACGAGAGGACCGGAGUGGACGCAUCACUGGUGUUCGGGUUGUCAUGCCAAUGGCACUGCCCGGUAGCUAAAUGCGGAAGAGAUAAGUGCUGAAAGCAUCUAAGCACGAAACUUGCCCCGA